Molecule: transfer RNA, 85 nt
Filed under: Felis catus (domestic cat)
Lineage: Eukaryota; Metazoa; Chordata; Mammalia; Carnivora; Felidae
Rfam family: tRNA
About the family: Transfer RNA (tRNA) molecules are approximately 80 nucleotides in length. Their secondary structure includes four short double-helical elements and three loops (D, anti-codon, and T loops).
Source: Rfam by way of RNAcentral
GCCUGGGUGGCUCAGUCAGUUAAGCAUCUGACUUCAGCUCAGGUCACGAUCUCACGGUUAGUGAGUUUGAGACCCACCUUGGGCU